CCUACGGGGGGCUGCAGUGGGGAAUAUUGGACAAUGGGGGGAACCCUGAUCCAGCCAUGCCGCGUGUGUGAAGAAGGCCCUCGGGUUGUAAAGCACUUUCAGUGAGGAAGAACGCCUGGUGGUUAAUACCCAUCAGGAAAGACAUCACUCACAGAAGAAGCACCGUCUAACUCCGUGCCAGCAGCCGCGGUAAUACGGAGGGUGCGAGCGUUAAUCGGAAUUACUGGGCGUAAAGCGCGCGUAGGUGGCUUGAUAAGCCGGUUGUGAAAGCCCCGGGCUCAACCUGGGAACGGCAUCCGGAACUGUCAAGCUAGAGUGCAGGAGAGGAAGGUAGAAUUCCCGGUGUAGCGGUGAAAUGCGUAGAGAUCGGGAGGAAUACCAGUGGCGAAGGCGGCCUUCUGGACUGACACUGACACUGAGGUGCGAAAGCGUGGGUAGCAAACAGGAUUAGAUACCCUAGUAGUC
This 465-nucleotide ribosomal RNA is filed under the name Vreelandella stevensii. RNAcentral's name for it is "partial 16S ribosomal RNA". It matches the Rfam family "Bacterial small subunit ribosomal RNA", at positions 338 to 795 of the family's 1533-position model. The record is from RNAcentral. Lineage: Bacteria; Pseudomonadati; Pseudomonadota; Gammaproteobacteria; Oceanospirillales; Halomonadaceae.